RNAcentral lists this ribosomal RNA (410 nucleotides) under uncultured bacterium. Its description in RNAcentral is "bacterial SSU rRNA". It matches the Rfam family "Bacterial small subunit ribosomal RNA", at positions 370 to 772 of the family's 1533-position model. The record is from RNAcentral.
AAUGGACGCAAGUCUGAUCCAGCCAUUCCGCGUGCAGGACGAAGGCCUUCGGGUUGUAAACUGCUUUUGUACAGAACGAAAAGGCCUCUAUUAAUACUAGGGGCUCAUGACGGUACUGUAAGAAUAAGCACCGGCUAACUACGUGCCAGCAGCCGCGGUAAUACGUAGGGUGCAAGCGUUAAUCGGAAUUACUGGGCGUAAAGCGUGCGCAGGCGGUUAUAUAAGACAGAUGUGAAAUCCCCGGGCUCAACCUGGGAACUGCAUUUGUGACUGUAUAGCUGGAGUGCGGCAGAGGGGGAUGGAAUUCCGCGUGUAGCAGUGAAAUGCGUAGAUAUGCGGAGGAACACCGAUGGCGAAGGCAAUCCCCUGGGCCUGCACUGACGCUCAUGCACGAAAGCGUGGGGAGCAAA